CCUACGGGAGGAGCAGUGGGGAAUAUUGGGCAAUGGAGGAAACUCUGACCCAGCGACGCCGCGUGCGGGAUGAAGGCCUUCGGGUUGUAAACCGCUUUCAGCAGGGAAUAAGCGCAAGUGAAGGUACCUGCAGAAGAAGCACCGGCUAACUAUGUGCCAGCAGCCGCGGUAAUACAUAGGGUGCAAGCGUUGUCCGGAAUUAUUGGGCGUAAAGAGCUCGUAGGUGGUUUGUUACGUCGGUUGUGAAAUUCAGGGGCGUCAACCCCUGACUUGCAGCCGAUACGGGCAAGCUAGAGUUUGGUAGGGGAGACUGGAAUUCCUGGUGUAGCGGUGGAAUGCGCAGAUAUCAGGAGGAACACCGAUGGCGAAGGCAGGUCUCUGGGCCAAUACUGACACUGAGGAGCGAAAGCGUGGGGAGCGAACAGGAUUAGAUACCCUGGUAGUCCACGCCGUAAACGGUGGGCGCUAGUUGUGCGAACCUUCCACGGUUUGUGCGACGCAGCUAACGCAUUAAGCGCCCCGCCUGGGGAGUACGAUCGCAAGNUUAAAACCUCAAGGAAUUGACGG
RNAcentral lists this ribosomal RNA (567 nucleotides) under uncultured bacterium. RNAcentral describes it as "bacterial SSU rRNA". It matches the Rfam family "Bacterial small subunit ribosomal RNA", at positions 338 to 916 of the family's 1533-position model. The record is from RNAcentral.